GUCUACACCCAUGCCACCCUGAAUGUGCCCAAUGUUGUCUGAUCUCAGAAGCUAAGCAGGGUUGGGCCUGGUUAGUACUUGGAUGGGAGACCACUUAGGAAGACCAGGUGCUGUAGGCA
Molecule: ribosomal RNA, 119 nt
Filed under: Pteropus alecto (black flying fox)
Lineage: Eukaryota; Metazoa; Chordata; Mammalia; Chiroptera; Pteropodidae
Source: RNAcentral